Phascolarctos cinereus (koala) is the source of this 742-nucleotide non-coding RNA. The record is from RefSeq and is a predicted model, not a curated record. Lineage: Eukaryota; Metazoa; Chordata; Mammalia; Diprotodontia; Phascolarctidae.
CAUAGAAUAUCACCCUAACCCAGGUCAGAUAGGGUAUUAAAACAAAAUAACUAGAACCCCCCCCCACGGCCAAUCUACUUCCAUCUGGAUUCAAGGAGACCAUUCUGAGGGCAGCAGUGUCACUAAGGCCAUUUUUGUUCCAGCUCUCUGGCAUCUGGAACUCAGCUCAGCACAGAUACAUGCACAUGUGCACAUACCCACACAUUUGGGUUCUUGCCUAAAGAAGGCAGAGAAGGGAAAAACUGUAAGGAAAGCCAGAAGAAUACAUGGGACGACCAGAGAAAGUUCAGAGUAGAUGGUGAAGAUAUUUUCCUUUGGAACCAUGGAAUUUCAAAAAAAGGUUGGAGUUUUAAUGAUGAAGCUCUGAUGGCGAGGGGUUGGGCUGCUGCAGGCCUGCACUUUGGCUGACUAGCGAAGGAGCCCUGGCUGUGUAAUGAACUCCCAGUGGAUUGUGGGAGUAAUGCGGCGCUGUUUCUGUGCCUGCUUCCCAGGGAAUGUCGAGCAGCCGCUUGGCCCGCCGCUUGCCAGGCCGAGGUCUGUGUGAGCAGAUAAAGUGGAGGGACUGAGGGACUGGGUAACAGCUGUGCUGGGCCGGAGCUGACUGGGAGAGGCUGAUAAGGGCCCGGCAAGGAGAAGGAGCGGGCAUCAUGGCACCGCCAGAAAUCUGACAGGAUAUCACAACUGGCAAAGAAAGUUAAACACAACUGGUUUGGGGGGAUGGGAGAGGAGAGCUGUUGAGAAA